AACGCAUAUUGCACUCUCUGGUAUUCCGGGGAGUAUGCCUGUUUGAGGGUCAGUAAAAAUAAAAAAUCUAUCAUGAAUCCUUUUUUUAAUUUAUUUUAUUAAAUCGGAACAUGGAAUUGGAUCUUUCAAAAAUUUCAUUAUUUUUGAUGAUCUUAAAUUUAUGUUAUAUGGCUAUAUAAUAAACUGAACCAAAAAGAGCAAUUAUUUAUAAUUAAUCUCAUUUAGUGAUGUUUUAUUAAGCCAAAUAUGAUUUAUUUUUGAUAUUUAAUUAUCAAAAUAAUCAUAAACAUAUUUUAAAAAUGACCUCAAAUCAGGUAAGAGUACCCGCUGAACUUAA
This 337-nucleotide unclassified non-coding RNA is filed under the name uncultured Entrophospora. Its description in RNAcentral is "uncultured Claroideoglomus sequence contains ITS2". The stretch from base 1 to 52 matches the Rfam family "5.8S ribosomal RNA", at positions 103 to 154 of the family's 154-position model. Lineage: Eukaryota; Fungi; Glomeromycota; Glomeromycetes; Entrophosporales; Entrophosporaceae. The record is from RNAcentral.